UGGCUCAAUGGUAGAGCACUUGCCUUGCAUGCAUGAGGCCUGGGGUUCGAUUCCUCA
This 57-nucleotide transfer RNA is filed under the name Dipodomys ordii (Ord's kangaroo rat). It matches the Rfam family "tRNA", at positions 8 to 63 of the family's 71-position model. From Rfam's summary of the family: Transfer RNA (tRNA) molecules are approximately 80 nucleotides in length. Their secondary structure includes four short double-helical elements and three loops (D, anti-codon, and T loops). Lineage: Eukaryota; Metazoa; Chordata; Mammalia; Rodentia; Heteromyidae. The record is from Rfam by way of RNAcentral.